This 246-nucleotide long non-coding RNA is filed under the name Nicotiana benthamiana. RNAcentral's name for it is "long non-coding RNA (NBEN_LNC040907)". The record is from RNAcentral. Lineage: Eukaryota; Viridiplantae; Streptophyta; Magnoliopsida; Solanales; Solanaceae.
AGUAUAUUUUCAAUAUUUUCUUCCUUUCCUUUCUUUCUUUCCUUUUUUCAACGUUUUUUUUUCUUCCUUUUCUUUGGUUCUUUUUGCUCUCCAGAGAAAUUUUUCUUUCUUCCUUUGGUUCUUUUUUUUUUUUUCUUUCUGUUUCUCGUUCCCUUUUUUUUUUUCUCAUUCUUUCUUCAUUCUUUCUUUGAAGCAAAACCCUACACAAACAAAAGUUAAGACAAUCGAAAAUUUCAAUUGGUUAGA